RNAcentral lists this long non-coding RNA (458 nucleotides) under Capra hircus (goat). Its description in RNAcentral is "lncRNA (ENSCHIG00000005174.1)". The record is from RNAcentral. Lineage: Eukaryota; Metazoa; Chordata; Mammalia; Artiodactyla; Bovidae.
UCUCUGCUGCAUCAGUCUAACGCACCUCUAUUCAUUCCCACACAGCUGCCAGGCAGCAAAGAUUAGAAGAUGAAUGAGAUACUAUCCUUGUUCAUGAGUACUUCGAAUAAUAUGAGUUGUGAAACCUGGCUAGAAUACGAGAUUGGAAAGGGAUUUUAGUUCCGGGCCAGGGAUCGAAUCCAUGCCCUGCAGUGGAAGUGCGAAGUCAACCACUGGACCUCCAGGGAAGUUCCAGUAGGUUGAAUUUUACCAGCAAGCAUUCUGAAACUUCAGAUUUACCAAUGAGCCGGAACUAUUGCAGCCACCUUGCAACCAGGAGGCAACAAGCAGGAGAAUGAAAGCUAAUUUUCCAAGAAUAGCAACACUGGAAGAUAGAAAUUCCUUCUAUCCUUGAUCAUGGCAUCUACAAUCUAAUGCCAGAUGAUCUAAGGAGGAGCUGAUAUAAUAAUAAAGUACGC